RNAcentral lists this ribosomal RNA (460 nucleotides) under uncultured bacterium. RNAcentral describes it as "bacterial SSU rRNA". It matches the Rfam family "Bacterial small subunit ribosomal RNA", at positions 338 to 795 of the family's 1533-position model. The record is from RNAcentral.
CCUANGGGUGGCAGCAGUGAGGAAUAUUGGUCAAUGGACGGAAGUCUGAACCAGCCAUCCCGCGUGCAGGAAGAAGGCGCUAUGCGUUGUAAACUGCUUUUCCGAGGGAAGAAAACCCCCGACGUGUCGGGGCUUGUCGGUACCUUGGGAAUAAGCAUCGGCUAACUCCGUGCCAGCAGCCGCGGUAAUACGGAGGUCCCAAGCGUUGUUCGGAUUCACUGGGCGUAAAGGGUGCGUAGGCGGUCGUGUAAGUCUAACGUGAAAUCUCCGAGCCUAACUCGGAAACUGCGUCGGAUACUAUUCGGCGAGAGGAAUGGAGGGGAGACUGGAAUUCUCGGUGUAGCAGUGAAAUGCGUAGAUAUCGAGAGGAACACCAGUGGCGAAGGCGAGUCUCUGGACAUUUCCUGACGCUGAGGCACGAAAGCCAGGGGAGCAAACGGGAUUAGAUACCCCGNUANUC